GGCUCAUUAAAUCACACCUAAUCUACUGGAUAGUACACAGUUACUUGGAUAACUGCGGUAAUUCUGGAGCUAAUACAUGCACAAAACCUCGAACUUACGUGAGAGGUGCUUUUAUUAGAUCAAAACCAAACGGCUUCGGCUGUACUCUUGGUGACUCUGAAUAACUUUGGGCUGAUCGCAUAGCCUAGCGCUGGCGACAUAUCCUUCGAGGGUGUGCCCUAUCAACUUUCGACUGUGGCAUAGACGCCCACAGUGGUUUUGACGGGUAACGGGGAAUCAGGGUUCGAUUCCGGAGAGGGAGCCUUAAAAACGGCUACCACAUCUAAGGAAGGCAGCAGGCACGCAAAUUACCCAAUGACCGAAGGUCGAGGUAGUGACGAAAAAUAACGAUCUUGGACUCAUCCGAGGCCCAAGAAUUGGAAUGAGUACACUUUAAAACCGUCCCCGAGGAUCUAUUGGAGGGCAAGUCUGGUGCCAGCAGCCGCGGUAAUUCCAGCUCCAAUAGCGUAUAUUAAAGUUGUUGUGGUUAAAAAGCUCGUAGUUGGAUCUCGGCAAACUGAGGGCGGUUACUUGCUGUACUACUGCCCUAUAGUUUGUAUUAUUGCUGGAGGUUUAGAGGUGAUCUUAAUCGAUUGUCUCUGGAUGCCAGCAGGUUUACUUUGAAAAAAUUAGAGUGCUCAAAGCAGGCUUAUACGCCUGAAUAUUCGUGCAUGGAAUAAUAGAAUAGGAACUUGUUCUUAUUUUGUUGGUUUUCGAGAAUCAAGUUAAUGAUUAAUAGGGACAGUUGGGGGCAUUUGUAUUCAAGCGAAAGAGGUGAAAUUCUUGGACCGUUUGAAGACAAACUACUGCGAAAGCAUUUGCCAAGAAUGUUUUCAUUAAUCAAGAACGAAAGUUAGAGGUUCGAAGGCGAUUAGAUACCGCCCUAGUUCUAACCAUAAACGAUGCCAGCUAGCGAUCUGCCUUCGUUUUCUUUGUAGACAAGGCAGGAAGCUUCCGGGAAACCAAAGCGUGUGGGUUCCAGGGGAAGUAUGGUUGCAAAGCUGAAACUUAAAGGAAUUGACGGAAGGGCACCACCAGGAGUGGAGCCUGUGGCUUAAUUUGACUCAACACGGGGAAUCUCACCAGGCCCGGACACUGGAAGGAUUGACAGAUUGAUAGCUCUUUCUUGAUUCGGUGGGUGGUGGUGCAUGGCCGUUCUUAGUUGGUGGAGUGAUUUGUCUGGUUAAUUCCGAUAACGAACGAGACUCUGUCCUGCUAAAUAGUGUUCGCUUCUCUUUUGAGCGGACAAUUCUUCUUAGAGGGACUGGCGGCUCUUAGUCGCACGAGAUUGAGCAAUAACAGGUCUGUGAUGCCCUUAGAUGUUCUGGGCCGCACACGCGCUACACUGAAAAGCUCAGCGUGUCUCCCUUCCUGAGAAGGACGGGUAAACCGCUGAACCCUUUUCGUGGUAGGGAUAGGGGCUUGCAAUUAUUCCCCUUGAACCAGGAAUUCCCAGUAGGCGCAAGUCAUCAGCUUGCGUCGAUUACGUCCCUGCCCUUUGUACACACCGCCCGUCGCUACUACCGAUUGAACGUUUU
Molecule: ribosomal RNA, 1577 nt
Filed under: Mecynocera clausi
Lineage: Eukaryota; Metazoa; Arthropoda; Copepoda; Calanoida; Mecynoceridae
Description: SSU rRNA
Rfam family: Eukaryotic small subunit ribosomal RNA
Source: RNAcentral